Molecule: non-coding RNA, 97 nt
Filed under: Neisseria wadsworthii
Lineage: Bacteria; Pseudomonadati; Pseudomonadota; Betaproteobacteria; Neisseriales; Neisseriaceae
Description: Glycine sequence
Rfam family: Glycine riboswitch aptamer
About the family: This family represents the bacterial glycine riboswitch.
Source: RNAcentral
CAUGCCCGUGCAGGAGAGCGUUACACCCGAUUACACCGUAACCGCCGAAGGCGCAGACACCCUUAAAUCGCUCAGGCAAAAGGACUGCAUUUAUCAC